GAUGAACGCUGGCGGCGUGCCUAAUACAUGCAAGUCGAGCGAACAGACGAGGAGCUUGCUCCUCUGACGUUAGCGGCGGACGGGUGAGUAACACGUGGAUAACCUACCUAUAAGACUGGGAUAACUUCGGGAAACCGGAGCUAAUACCGGAUAAUAUAUUGAACCGCAUGGUUCAAUAGUGAAAGACGGUUUUGCUGUCACUUAUAGAUGGAUCCGCGCCGCAUUAGCUAGUUGGUAAGGUAACGGCUUACCAAGGCGACGAUGCGUAGCCGACCGGAGAGGGUGAUCGGCCACACUGGAACUGAGACACGGUCCAGACUCCUACGGGAGGCAGCAGUAGGGAAUCUUCGGCAAUGGGCGAAAGCCUGACGGAGCAACGCCGCGUGAGUGAUGAAGGUCUUCGGAUCGUAAAACUCUGUUAGUAGGGAAGAACAAAUGUGUAAGUAACUAUGCACGUCUUGACGGUACCUAAUCAGAAAGCAACGGCUAACUACGUG
Molecule: ribosomal RNA, 497 nt
Filed under: uncultured bacterium
Lineage: Bacteria
Description: partial 16S ribosomal RNA
Rfam family: Bacterial small subunit ribosomal RNA
Source: RNAcentral